RNAcentral lists this ribosomal RNA (420 nucleotides) under Triticum aestivum (bread wheat). Its description in RNAcentral is "partial small subunit ribosomal RNA". Lineage: Eukaryota; Viridiplantae; Streptophyta; Magnoliopsida; Poales; Poaceae. The record is from RNAcentral.
AUGUAUCUGACCAGCGGGGCCCGCAUGUCAACAGCCAACUUGGCAUAUUUUUUUUCAGAAAACCCCUUUGUUAUAAAUUUAAUCGCUCGCACGACGCCCGCAUGCACGCCGCAGCCCAACCGCUGCCCCCCACCCCCCUCCCUCGAGCUCGCCGCCGCCUCCGGCCGCCCCGCCCCGCCCCGCCUCGGCGAGAUGGAGACGGCCCGGGCCCCCGCCGCCCCCGCGACGUCCAGGCCGCGCACCGUGGAGGCCAUCUUCAGGGACUUCUCCGCGCGCCGCUCCGGCCUCGUCCGCGCGCUCACCUCCGGUGAGUACCCGACCGACCGACCGCGUCCCCUUCCCUUCUCCUCCCUCCCUCAUCCCCUUUGCCCCUCUCGUAGCGCCGCGCUGACGGGCCACCCGCGCGCGCCGCAGAUCUAA